UACGUAGGGUGCGAGCGUUGUCCGGAAUUAUUGGGCGUAAAGAGCUCGUAGGCCGUCUGUCGCGUCGGAUGUGAAAACUCGGGGCUCAACCCCGAGCCUGCAUUCGAUACGGGCAGACUAGAGUUCGGUAGGGGGAGACUGGAAUUCCUGGUGUAGCGGUGAAAUGCGCAGAUAUCAGGAGGAACACCGAUGGCGAAGGCAGGUCACUGGGCCGCAACUGACGCUGAGGAGCGAAAGCAUGGGGAGCGAACAGG
Molecule: ribosomal RNA, 254 nt
Filed under: uncultured bacterium
Lineage: Bacteria
Description: partial 16S ribosomal RNA
Rfam family: Bacterial small subunit ribosomal RNA
Source: RNAcentral